Molecule: long non-coding RNA, 1531 nt
Organism: Quercus robur (English oak)
Lineage: Eukaryota; Viridiplantae; Streptophyta; Magnoliopsida; Fagales; Fagaceae
Exons: 3
Source: RefSeq, a predicted model, not a curated record
UCAGAUUUUUCCAUACCACUACCACAUAGAGACUUUACUACAACCUCCAAAUCACCCUCAAAACAAGAUUGUUGGAAACCUGUUUCAGAAACCAAGACUACUGCUCUUCUUGCUACCAGUAGCUCCAAAGUCACAACUGAUGGUGGUUUCUUGAUUUUUUCAGACAAGGUAACCAUAACUUGACCUUCAGAAUUUCGGAUGACAACACCAAGGCCGGCUUCAUCUGAUUCAUCAAACAUAGCCCCGUCAUAAUUGGUCUUGAAACAAUCUGUGGGUGGGGGACGCCAAUGCUUUUGAGAGGGGAGUCUACUGCACGUGGAAAGACUUGCAUGAGCUCCCUGAGUCUUGAAGCUACAAAGAUAUUCCCGUGCGAAACCCGCAAUUCUAGCCAGCGGCAAAGAAGGUUCCUGGAGGCGGAUUUAUUUCUGUGGUGCCAUAUAGGGAUCCGGAUCCUCUCCAUUUCCCUUUGAAAUGGAGAGGGUCCAGUUCACGGUGGGGAUUUAUUUGAAAAUUAUCAAGGGCCAAAAACAUGCCACAUCAUUUAAAUGUAAACACCACACUUAACCCCAGUUAAACAUUUAAACUACUUUAACUCAGGUUAAACACUUAAACUAGAGGCACUCAACCGGACAAACCACUGAAAAUGUUUCAGACUCUCUUUCAAACUCUCUCUCACCAGACCCAUAUGAAAAUUUCAAACUCUCUUCUCCAAGGAUUUUCUCUCUGCAUUCCACGGUCCUCAGUGUUGCUGGUGCCACCAGCCAUCGUGCCAAGCCACUUUGUUGCGUGGGCUAUGUCUCACACCAACCUAGCAUCAGCGGAAAGUGCCGCCCACUUGCAGGCAUAGGCACUACCCAGCAUCACCGGACUGCUCCGCUAGAACAGUCACUGCCCAAACCAUGUACUCUUCGAGAGGAAGCAAUGCGUUUGGGCAGCAAUCGUAUGCGGCUCAAUCGGCUGCGUAUGGCGCUAGUAAAAUGAGUUGAAGCAGCUAGCAGCCAUCUAUUAAAAGUCUGAAGAGAAGGGUACAGAGCAGUGGUGACAUAAUCAAGCUCAUCCUUGCACCCCCUCCUUCGUGGUAGAUGGAAUAUGGAAUUUAAGAAACAGAGCUGUUUUCCAAGGCGAGAAAGUUAACAUCUGUGAAGCCUGCUUGUGGAUUCAAAGCAGAAUCAUAGAGUUCCGUACUUUAAUCCAGGCAGCCAACGAAGCUCAUUGCGCAUCUUCAUCCCAGGUUUGGAAGCCACCCUUGACUAGGUCCAUCAAGCUAAAUGUGGAUGCUGCAACUGGACCAUCAAGAACUGCACUAGCAGUUGUAGCAAGGAACUCCCUUGGCGAGGUGAUCAAAGUUUGGGCUAAUCCUCACCAUAGCUGCACCCCCAUCCAAGCAGAAGCAAGUGCAAGGCAGUCAACCUAGCCUCUAAUGAAGGGCGGAAACAAGUAAUCAUAGAGAGCGAUUCCAAGAUGUGUAUGGAUUCACUGUCUGACAAUCCUUUUGUGCCUAACUGGGCCAUUAGCAAUGAUAUUGUUAAUA